AUGGUGCAUUUAUUAAAGCACGAUAGCAAACGCUCUUGUUUCCUGCGCCUUACUCCACACCCACUACAUCAAGCGUUACACUUAUUUAAGGCCUUCAUCCGCCUUUACCUCGCCCACCACAAGGAGGAGCGCAUCGACGUGCUGCAGCUGGCCCAAGAACCCUUCCUCAUGCCCCCCUUCCGCAAGGCCCUGGCCACCGGUCCUGGGCCGUUGGCAUCGGGCUCCACGCCCUCCACCUCCAGCGCAUACACAGCAGUGCCUCGAACUGAGGCGCCCAACACCAUCCCAGAGGGACCCUGUGG
RNAcentral lists this long non-coding RNA (302 nucleotides) under Salmo trutta (river trout). RNAcentral describes it as "lncRNA (ENSSTUG00000018592.1)". Lineage: Eukaryota; Metazoa; Chordata; Actinopteri; Salmoniformes; Salmonidae. The record is from RNAcentral.